Molecule: long non-coding RNA, 526 nt
Organism: Sinocyclocheilus anshuiensis
Lineage: Eukaryota; Metazoa; Chordata; Actinopteri; Cypriniformes; Cyprinidae
Exons: 4
Source: RefSeq, a predicted model, not a curated record
GAAUUUUGUUUUUUUUUACGGGCACACGCUUGUGAGUCUGAGACUGGAUGAAGGGCAAACAUUUGACUGUGAGUCUGAGACUUGACGAAGGAUCAUUAGACAGCUGAGUUCGAUCGGUGUCUGGGUCAUAGGGUGGAAGAUGUAGGAGCGAGGAAACGAUUUCGCUGCGAUUGGAGAUGCAGAUCCACCGGCUCAUGGUGAGACACUUCAUACACACAAGAAGGGCGUGCAAGCUGGCCUCCUAAUACGAAGACUACGAUGGUGCACUGCAGGACACCUUUCUCCUUUUAAAUGUUCAAGAAAAAAAAGGACUGUAAUGGACAUGUAUGUGUGUUUUUUUUUUCAAGCUUUUCUCAGUGGUUGUUUCCCAUGAGGUGUGAGUGUAUUUUCAGCUUUGUAUGAGUUUCUUGGCAGUUUUUUGCUGCUUUUGUGCCCUUGUAUACAUAUACUGGCAUUCACACAUUAGCAUGCACAGGCAGGUUGUGUACUGUUCUUAAUAUUAAAACCCUGUUUAUAAGCACUGCAA